RNAcentral lists this unclassified non-coding RNA (364 nucleotides) under uncultured Chloroflexota bacterium. RNAcentral describes it as "uncultured Chloroflexi bacterium contains 16S-23S intergenic spacer region". Lineage: Bacteria; Bacillati; Chloroflexota. The record is from RNAcentral.
UCCGGGUUGGUCCCAGCGGUCCGGCCAGACUGCGUAACUGGCAGCGGGGGUUGCGCUCGUUGCGGGACUUAACCCAACACCUCACGGCACGAGCUGACGACAGCCGUGCAGCACCUGUGCGCGCUCCCUCGCGGGUCCCCUCGGUUUCCCUCGGGUACCACGCGCAUGUCAAGCCCGGGUAAGGUUCUUCGCGUUGCAUCGAAUUAAACCACACGCUCCGCUGCUUGUGCGGGCCCCCGUCAAUUCCUUUGAGUUCUAGCCUUGCGGCCGUACUCCCCAGGCGGGGUGCUUAUCGCGUUGGCUGCGGCACAGAGGGAUUCGACUCCCCCCACACCUAGUGUCCAUCGUUUACGGCUAGGACUAC